GCCUGUUUGCUCCUCGCAAUCCUUCUAGUUCUUCAGUUGGCCACUGGAUCAAUUGCCUUCCAUUUGGAUCCAGCACUUACAAAGCAUGCAACAAAGAAAAAUCAUAUCAAAAUAUUCGAAAAUUAUAUAUAAUUAUAAUAAAUAUAAGAUCAAGAUUAUUUCAGGUUCUUAUAUCGAACACUUGAAGAGUAAACAAACCUCAGCAAAAUAUUGAAUGUACAAAGAGAAAAUCGGAAACUUGUCAAGACUUUCAUCAAACUCUUACAAAACAUAUUUUUAAAGGAUUGUUUGUAUAGAACUGUAGGGAAGCUCAAACAACACCUGCUUAUAAAAUGAUAUCAUGAUUUGUUAUUGCAUCUCAUCAUUGUGAAGUUACAUUCAAAUUUAAAUACGGUUUAUACGUUUUACUAACCUGUCCAACAGCAUAUGGAAGAACUGAAUACAUCCUAGCUGCUCUUUCCAGGUAGAAGACAGUUCUUCUCAAUAGCGACAACCGACUGUACUCAGAGGAAGAUAAUGGCUGCGUACACAGAAC
RNAcentral lists this long non-coding RNA (535 nucleotides) under Daucus carota (carrot). RNAcentral describes it as "long non-coding RNA (DCAR_LNC005550)". Lineage: Eukaryota; Viridiplantae; Streptophyta; Magnoliopsida; Apiales; Apiaceae. The record is from RNAcentral.